This 491-nucleotide ribosomal RNA is filed under the name uncultured bacterium. RNAcentral describes it as "partial 16S ribosomal RNA". It matches the Rfam family "Bacterial small subunit ribosomal RNA", at positions 30 to 506 of the family's 1533-position model. The record is from RNAcentral.
AGUGAACGCUGGCGGUAGGCCUAACACAUGCAAGUCGAACGGCAGCACAGUAAGAGCUUGCUCUUACGGGUGGCGAGUGGCGGAUGGGUGAGGAAUACAUCGGAAUUUACUUUUUCGUGGGGGAUAACGUAGGGAAACUUACGCUAAUACCGCAUACGACCUACGGGUGAAAGCAGGGGAUCUUCGGACCUUGCGCGAUUGCAUGCGCCGGUGUCGGGUUAGCUAGUUGGGGGGGUAUAGGCCCACCAAGGCGACGAUCCGUAGCUGGUCUGAGAGGAGGAGCAGCCACACUGGAACUGAGAGACGGAUCAGACUCGUAAGGGAGGCAACAGUGGGGAAUGUUGGACAAGGGGCGCAAGCCGGAUCCAGCGAGACCGCGUGGGGGAAGAAGGCCUUCGGGUGGUAAAGCGCUUUUGUUGGGAAAGAAAAUCAGCAGGUUAAUGCCGCGCUGUUCUGACGGUACCCAAAGAGUAAGCACCGGCUAACUUCGU